This 253-nucleotide ribosomal RNA is filed under the name uncultured bacterium. Its description in RNAcentral is "partial 16S ribosomal RNA". It matches the Rfam family "Bacterial small subunit ribosomal RNA", at positions 524 to 776 of the family's 1533-position model. The record is from RNAcentral.
UACGAAGGUGGCAAGCGUUGUUCGGAUUUACUGGGCGUACAGGGAGCGUAGGCGGUUGGGUAAGCCCCUCGUGAGAUCUCCGGGCCUAACCCGGAAAGGGCGGGGGGGACUGCUCGGCUAGAGGAUGGGAGGGGAGCGCGGAAUUCCCGGUGUAGCGGUGAAAUGCGUAGAGAUCGGGAGGAAGGCCGGUGGCGAAGGUGGCGCUCUGGAACAUUUCUGACGCUGAGGCUCGAAAGCGUGGGGAGCAAACAGG